RNAcentral lists this ribosomal RNA (519 nucleotides) under Arthroderma sp. SSR-2012a. RNAcentral's name for it is "eukaryotic LSU rRNA". It matches the Rfam family "Eukaryotic large subunit ribosomal RNA", at positions 87 to 607 of the family's 3401-position model. Lineage: Eukaryota; Fungi; Ascomycota; Eurotiomycetes; Onygenales; Arthrodermataceae. The record is from RNAcentral.
CGGCGAGUGAAGCGGCAAAAGCUCAAAUUUGAAAUCUGGCUCCUUUAGGGGUCCGAGUUGUAAUUUGCAGAGGAUGCUUCGGGAGCGGCCACGGCUUAAGUGCCUUGGAACAGGACGUCAUAGAGGGUGAGAAUCCCGUCUUGAGUCGUUGGUCCGCGCCCAUGUGAAGCUCCUUCGACGAGUCGAGUUGUUUGGGAAUGCAGCUCUAAGCGGGUGGUAAAUUUCAUCUAAAGCUAAAUAUUGGCCGGAGACCGAUAGCGCACAAGUAGAGUGAUCGAAAGGUUAAAAGCACCUUGAAAAGGGAGUUAAACAGCACGUGAAAUUGUUGAAAGGGAAGCGCUUGCGGCCAGACUCGGGUACAGGGUUCAGCGGGUGCGUGUCACCCGUGUACUCCCUGUUUCUCGGGCCAGCAUCAGUUCUGACGGCCGGUCAAAGGCCUCUGGAAUGUGUCGUCUUUCGGGACGUCUUAUAGCCAGGGGUGCAAUGCGGCCUGUUGGGACUGAGGAACGCGCUUCGGCU